This 202-nucleotide ribosomal RNA is filed under the name uncultured bacterium. RNAcentral describes it as "partial 16S ribosomal RNA". It matches the Rfam family "Bacterial small subunit ribosomal RNA", at positions 524 to 724 of the family's 1533-position model. The record is from RNAcentral.
GACGUAGGGCGCGAGCGUUGUCCGGAUUUAUUGGGCGUAAAGAGCUCGUAGGCGGUUUGUCGCGUCUGCUGUGAAAACUGGGGGCUCAACCCCCAGCCUGCAGUGGGUACGGGCAGACUAGAGUGCGGUAGGGGGAGAUUGGAAUUCCUGGUGUAGCGGUGGAAUGCGCAGAUAUCAGGAGGAACACCGAUGGCGAAGGCAG